RNAcentral lists this small nuclear RNA (25 nucleotides) under Arabidopsis thaliana (thale cress). RNAcentral describes it as "snRNA_10155". Lineage: Eukaryota; Viridiplantae; Streptophyta; Magnoliopsida; Brassicales; Brassicaceae. The record is from RNAcentral.
ACUGAUUGUGGUCAGCUUUCUUAGA